Molecule: ribosomal RNA, 270 nt
Filed under: uncultured bacterium
Lineage: Bacteria
Description: partial 16S ribosomal RNA
Rfam family: Bacterial small subunit ribosomal RNA
Source: RNAcentral
GAUGAACGCUAGCGGCAGGCCUAAUACAUGCAAGCCGAACGGUAAUGGCGCCAGCAAUGGCGCCACUAGAGUGGCGUAAGGGUGCGUAACACGUAUGCAAUCUGCCCUUAACAAGAGGAUAGCUCCCCGAAAGGGGAAUUAAACCUCUAUGAGAUCACAUGACGGCAUCGUUGAGUGAUUAAAACUACGGUGGUUAAGGAUGAGCAUGCGACUGAUUAGCUAGUUGGUAGUGUAAAGGACUACCAAGGCGAUGAUCAGUAGGGGAACUGA